Molecule: ribosomal RNA, 429 nt
Filed under: Chloroflexota bacterium
Lineage: Bacteria; Bacillati; Chloroflexota
Description: Chloroflexi bacterium partial 16S ribosomal RNA
Rfam family: Bacterial small subunit ribosomal RNA
Source: RNAcentral
UGGGGAAUAUUGCACAAUGGGCGCAAGCCUGAUGCAGCCAUGCCGCGUGUAUGAAGAAGGCCUUCGGGUUGUAAAGUACUUUCAGUCGGGAGGAAGGUGGUAAGGUUAAUAACCUUGGCAAUUGAAGUUACCGACAGAAGAAGCACCGGCUAACUCCGUGCCAGCAGCCGCGGUAAUACGGAGGGUGCAAGCGUUAAUCGGAAUUACUGGGCGUAAAGCGCACGCAGGCGGUUGAUUGAGUCAGAUGUGAAAUCCCCGGGCUUAACCCGGGAAUUGCAUCUGAUACUGGUCAGCUAGAGUCGUGUAGAGGGGGGUAGAAUUCCAUGUGUAGCGGUGAAAUGCGUAGAGAUGUGGAGGAAUACCGGUGGCGAAGGCGGCCCCCUGGACAAAGACUGACGCUCAGGUGCGAAAGCGGGGGGAGCAAACAGG